UACGGGGGGGGCAAGCGUUGUUCGGAAUUACUGGGCGUAAAGGGCUCGUAGGUGGCCAACUAAGUCAGACGUGAAAUCCCUCGGCUUAACCGGGGAACUGCGUCUGAUACUGGAUGGCUUGAGUUCGGGAGAGGAAUGCGGAAUUCCAGGUGUAGCGGUGAAAUGCGCAGAUAUCAGGAGGAACACCAAUGGCGAAGGCAGCUCGCUGGGACGUGACUGACGCUGAGACGCGAAAGCGUGGGGAGCAAACAGG
This 253-nucleotide ribosomal RNA is filed under the name uncultured bacterium. Its description in RNAcentral is "partial 16S ribosomal RNA". It matches the Rfam family "Bacterial small subunit ribosomal RNA", at positions 524 to 776 of the family's 1533-position model. The record is from RNAcentral.